GCUCUGGUGGCCUAGUGGUUAGAGCGUCCGCCUCGGAUGUGGGGGUCGUGGGUUCGAUCACGGGUCGAUUCACACCAAACA
Non-coding RNA from Potamilus streckersoni, 81 nucleotides. The record is from the annotation of a GenBank genome assembly. Lineage: Eukaryota; Metazoa; Mollusca; Bivalvia; Unionida; Unionidae.